This 133-nucleotide small nucleolar RNA is filed under the name Aegilops tauschii subsp. strangulata. RNAcentral describes it as "snoRNA Plant_U3". The record is from RNAcentral. Lineage: Eukaryota; Viridiplantae; Streptophyta; Magnoliopsida; Poales; Poaceae.
ACGACCUUACUUGAACAGGAUUUGUUCUAUAGGAUCAUAUAGCUGCAUCCUUAAGGAAUGAAAGCGUGAUGAGGUGCAACAACAUCAUGACUGGCCAAAAAGGCAGAUUUUGUACUGGUUUUAUUUAUAGUAG